CCUACGGGGGGCUGCAGUGGGGAAUAUUGGACAAUGGGCGAAGGCCUGAUCCAGCCAUGCCGCGUGUGUGAAGAAGGCCUUCGGGUUGUAAAGCACUUUCAGUGGGGAAGAAAGCCUUGGGGCUAAUACCCUCGAGGAAGGACAUCACCCACAGAAGAAGCACCGGCUAACUCCGUGCCAGCAGCCGCGGUAAUACGGAGGGUGCGAGCGUUAAUCGGAAUUACUGGGCGUAAAGCGCGCGUAGGCGGUCUGAUAAGCCGGUUGUGAAAGCCCCGGGCUCAACCUGGGAACGGCAUCCGGAACUGUCAGGCUAGAGUGCAGGAGAGGAAGGUAGAAUUCCCGGUGUAGCAGUGAAAUGCGUAGAGAUCGGGAGGAAUACCAGUGGCGAAGGCGGCCUUCUGGACUGACACUGACGCUGAGGUGCGAAAGCGUGGGUAGCAAACAGGAUUAGAUACCCGUGUAGUC
This 465-nucleotide ribosomal RNA is filed under the name Vreelandella stevensii. Its description in RNAcentral is "partial 16S ribosomal RNA". It matches the Rfam family "Bacterial small subunit ribosomal RNA", at positions 338 to 795 of the family's 1533-position model. The record is from RNAcentral. Lineage: Bacteria; Pseudomonadati; Pseudomonadota; Gammaproteobacteria; Oceanospirillales; Halomonadaceae.